RNAcentral lists this ribosomal RNA (206 nucleotides) under uncultured bacterium. RNAcentral describes it as "partial 16S ribosomal RNA". It matches the Rfam family "Bacterial small subunit ribosomal RNA", at positions 568 to 774 of the family's 1533-position model. The record is from RNAcentral.
CGCGUAGGCGGUUUGUUAAGUCAGCUGUGAAAGCCCCGGGCUCAACCUGGGAACUGCAGUUGAUACUGGCCGACUAGAGUACGAGAGAGGGAGGUAGAAUUCCAUGUGUAGCGGUGAAAUGCGUAGAUAUAUGGAGGAAUACCAGUGGCGAAGGCGGCCUCCUGGCUCGAUACUGACGCUGAGAUGCGAAAGCGUGGGAUCAAACA